RNAcentral lists this long non-coding RNA (3744 nucleotides) under Erythranthe guttata (spotted monkey flower). RNAcentral describes it as "long non-coding RNA (EGUT_LNC000405)". The record is from RNAcentral. Lineage: Eukaryota; Viridiplantae; Streptophyta; Magnoliopsida; Lamiales; Phrymaceae.
CUCGAUUAAUUUCACCUAUAUAGUGUUAAUCCCCAAAGUCCCAAAACCUGAAAAAAUGCCUGAAUAUCGUCCUAUUAGCCUUUGUAACGUGAUUUACAAAAUUGGGUCCAAAGCUAUCGCUAAUAGGAUCAAAACAGUGUUGAGCGAUAUAAUUUCACCCACCCAAUCCGCGUUUGUGCCUAAUCGUCUUAUAACUGAUAAUGUAUUGGUCGCCUAUGAAUUGAACCAUUACAUUAAAAGUAACUCCAGGAAACGAUCAAAAUACAUGGCAAUGAAAUUAGAUAUUAGUAAAGCGUAUGAUCGGAUUGAGUGGCUUUUCAUUCGGAAAAUAUUGGACAAAUUUGGUUUCCCGCAAUCUCUAGUUGAAUUGAUUAUGUUAUGCGUGACCACUGUAUCUUAUUCUUUUAUUUUCAACGGCUCGCAGUGUGGAUCUAUCUCUCCGACCUGCGAACUCCGGCAAGGCGAUCCACUGUCACCAUACUUGUUUAUUCUUUGCACGGAGGCCUUAAUUGCUAUGCUCACCCGAUCCACGGAGAACGGCCAAGUACGGGGAUUUCGGGUGGCCCCCACGGCUCCUUUGGUUUCCAGCCUAUGUUUUGCAGAUGACACGCUCAUUUUCUGUCAAGCUACGGAAUCAAAUGCUCAUGCUUUGCGGGAUAUUCUUACACGAUAUGAGAGGGUCUCGGGCCAGAAGAUCAAUUUGGAAAAGUCUACGAUGACUUUUUGCCCGUCUACUCCGUCGCUUUUGAGAGACAACAUUCACGCCAUCCUCGAUUUCCAGAUAGUUGAUAAGUUCGAUAAAUACCUCGGUCUCCCGAUUUCGCUGGGUCGAACUCGAAAAGAGAUCUUUUCGUUCCUCAGAGAUAGGAUAUGGACGCGCAUCAAGGGAUGGGACUCAAAACAACUCUCAAAAGCGGGGAAGGAGAUUCUCAUAAAAGCAGUACUUCAAGCUAUACCGUCAUAUGUAAUGUCAUGUUUUAUCCUACCACUAGGAUUGAUUGAUGAGAUUGAAGCGGCAGUUAGGAGGUUCUGGUGGUCAAACGGAGAUGGGAGGAGAAUGUCUUGGUUGGCUUGGAAAAAAGUCUGUCGUCCAAAAGAGUCGGGAGGUAUGGGAUUUCGGUAUCUCCGAGCGUUUAAUUUGGCUUUGGUCGCGAAACAGGUCUGGCAAAUCUCCACGCAACCUGAUUGCUUGAUGUCCCAUAUUUUUCAAGCGAAAUACUUCCCGUAUUGCGAUUUUUGGUCGGCUUCUCUGGGUAAUCACCCAUCAUCAACAUGGCGAUGUAUUUUGGCAGCCCGAGACCAUGCUAGAGCAGGGUUACGUGUUCGGAUUGGAAAUGGAGAGUCAACCUGAUACAAUUCCACCUCUACCAACUCAUUUCCAUGAAGAAAUGGAAGUUAAUUAAGGAUAAUAUAUCAAUAAACUGACUUUUAUUAAGUCAGUUAUUAUAUUUUAGUUAUUCCCUGUGUUUAGGAGUUUAUCCAUAAACUGACUUUUAUUAAGUCAGUUAUUAGAUUUCAGUUAUUCCUUAUGUUUAGGAGAUUAGUUUUGUGUUAAUUUAGUAUAAAUAGUUAGUAUUUGUUUAGUUUUUAGGGAUUGGGAAUUAGUAACUUGUAUGAAUUUCUGGAGUUUUGUCCUCUCCAUACGGACAACUAUAUAUGGUAUAUUAUUGUGUUUAAGAUUCUUGCACAUAAUCGGUCAUCGUUAUUUACUAUUCUCUUGGAUUGUUCUCGAUUCCUAUCAAUGGUAUCAGCCAGAACGAUAGAUAUGGUUAAUACUCGAUCUUCCAUUUCACAAAAUGAUCAGCCACCAACCCUUCCCAACCCACCAACCCACCAAAUUUCAGAUUCCACAGCCCUUCAACUUUCCGCCAUUGCUGCAAAACUCAACAUGUUGGACUCACUUGCCGCUGAAGUUGCUGCACUGAAGGAACAAUCGAGUGGAUCUCCAAUUGGGGAAACAAGCACGAGAGUUCGAAACAAAGGUAAGAACACUGAUAUUCCGUUGGGACCGCGUGACAAAGGUCGAUCAAAUUGGUCGGAGGGUGAUGACGAUGAUGCCGACAACCCUGGGCUGUUGCGAACUCCUUCACGACGACCACAUACAAAAAUGGACUUUCCAAAGUACGACGGUGGCGAUCCUCGUGGAUGGAUAUUGAAAGCCGAAAAAUAUUUUCGAUACUAUCAAACACCGGAGGAACUCAAAGUCGAUGUUGCAGCCAUGUAUCUUGAAGGUGAUGCUCUUGAUUUCUUUGCUUGGGUUAACCGCGAAAGCAUUUUGCUGUACUGGGAUGAUCUUGUUCGCGCUUUACAAGAAAAUUACGGACCAGCCGAGUUUCAAAAUCCUAAUGAGUAUCUCUGUAGCAUUCAACAAGUUGGUUCAGUCACCGAAUACCGCCAAGAAUUUGCAAAGAGAUCGUCACGUGUCACAAAUUGGCCUGAUCAUUGCUUAUUAGGUGUGUUUUUAAAUGGCUUGAGGGAUGAACUAAAGGCUGAUGUUCGAAUUCACAAGCCCAGAACGGUAUAUAAAGCUAUGAGUUUGGCCCUUGAAUUUGAAUCCAAACUCACAUCCAAUGGAGACUUAAAUCGUCUUCAUAACGAUCCCCAUUUUCCUGCACCAAAUAAAGCAUACCCUCAGCCCCAUUCAGUUAAACCUCCGUCGAUGCCAUCUAGACAAGCUCUGUCAUGGGAAGAGAGACAGUUACGAAUGACAAAAGGUCUAUGUUUUCGAUGCAACGAAAAAUUUGGACCAGGCCACCGCUGCAAAUCGUCUAACUUUUCCCUCAUGGAACUUAUGGAGAACGAACCUCCAGCUAUAAAGGCGCAAGACGCAAUCAAUGCACAUGCCGAGGAUGCUACUGUUGCCGGAUUGGCUGAAAUAUCUUUCCAUGCUAUGAUGGAGACUUCAGCAACAUCAACCAUGCAAAUUUUGGGAAAAAUUAAGCACCGACAAGUUUUAAUCCUCGUUGACAGUGGGUCAACCCACAAUUUCGUGGCGAAACAAAUAGUCCAAGACGUUGCAUUACCUAUCCAAGAGGUUCCUUCUUUUGGAGUAAAAAUUGGCAACGGGGAUGUGAUCAAAUGCAAUCAAAUUUGCCGAGACAUUUCGGUUCAGCUCCCUGGAUUAACUAUCAUCCAAGAUUUUUAUCCAUUUGCACUCGGUGGAGCUGAUUUGGUCUUGGGAAUUAAAUGGCUUGCUUCUUUGAAUACUGUGCAAGCAAAUUGGAACGAGAUGUUUCUCAUUUUUCAGUUGAAUGGGUAGAAGUGCAAGCUUCAAGGAGUUCCUCACACACCAACUUUUGAAGCCGAUUAUCAAUAUUGUAACACAUUUCCGCCUUGAGGACAAGCCGAAUUUUCAGGGGGUGUUGUACUGAUACAAUUCCACCUCUACCAACUCAUUUCCAGGAAGAAAUGGAAGUUAAUUAAGGAUAAUAUAUCAAUAAACUGACUUUUAUUAAGUCAGUUAUUAUAUUUUAGUUAUUCCCUGUGUUUAGGAGUUUAUCCAUAAACUGACUUUUAUUAAGUCAGUUAUUAGAUUUCAGUUAUUCCUUAUGUUUAGGAGAUUAGUUUUGUGUUAAUUUAGUAUAAAUAGUUAGUAUUUGUUCAGUUUUUAGGGAUUGAGAAUUAGUAACUUGUAUGAAUUUCUGGAGUUUUGUCCUCUCCAUACGGACAACUAUAUAUGGUAUAUUAUUGUGUUUAAGAUUCUUGCACAUAAUCGGCCAUCGUUAUUUACUAUUCUCUUGGAUU